RNAcentral lists this ribosomal RNA (341 nucleotides) under Nematoda environmental sample. RNAcentral describes it as "SSU rRNA". It matches the Rfam family "Eukaryotic small subunit ribosomal RNA", at positions 1300 to 1665 of the family's 1831-position model. Lineage: Eukaryota; Metazoa; Nematoda. The record is from RNAcentral.
GGUGGAGCGAUUUGUCUGGUUUAUUCCGAUAACGAACGAGACUCUGGCCUACUAAAUAGAGACGGAAUUAUUACUGUUCCGGAUUCUUCUUAGAGGGACAAGUGGUUUUCAGCCACACGAAAUUGAGCAAUAACAGGUCUGUGAUGCCCUUAGAUGUCCGGGGCUGCACGCGCGCUACACUGAAGGAAUCAGCGUGCUAAAACCAUUGUCGAAAGGCAUUGGUAAACCCAUCAAAAUCCUACGUGAUUGGGAUCGGGAAUUGCAAUUAUUUCCCUUGAACGAGGAAUUCCCAGUAAGUGCGGGUCAUAAGCUCGCGUUGAAUACGUCCCUGCCCUUUGUAC